GACUGGCAAAAAAAAAAAAAAAAAAAAAAGUGGUUCCACAGGCAAAACAGAAUCAUGCUAGGCAUUUCAAAUGCAACAUGGUUUAGUACAGGGAGUUACAUGUUUCACAAGAGGAAGAAAGCUUAGUGUGUUGACUCAAGCCUGUAAUCCUAGCUACUUAAGGGGUAGAGAUCAAAGGACUUAGUUUUGAGGCCACCCAGGUAAAAAAAGAAAAGUUUAUGAGACUCCAUCUCAUCAGCCAAUGCCUGGGCAUGGUGUUGCAUGUUUGUUGUUCUAGCUACAGGGAAAGCACAGUGGCUAGGUGAAGUUGUGUGUACCUGUAAUUCUCCAGCAAUGCUAGGAAGCAUAAAAAGGAGGAUGCAGCCCAAGUCAGCCUGGGAAUGAAACAAGACCCUACAAUAACCAAUACAAAAUGGCUGGAGGCAAGACUGAUGGGUAGAGUGUCUACCUAGCAAAUAUGAGGCCCUCAGUACAAGUAGAGUGAGCAUCACUAACAUUCUAUACUUAAGCAGAUAUAGCUACGGCUUCUGUAAUGCAGGAAAUUGCUGUCAAUAUCACAGGUGCUCACUAGCUCUGAGAUAGCUGACUAGUAAGGGAAUGUGAAAACCAUUGCAACUCUAAUCCAAGGGAAGAAAACUUUCCACCUCUAGCUCCCUUUCCACCAUUUCCUGAAAUUCAUCUCAUAGCCCAAAAACAUGGCAGAGGGUUUUGAGUACUAUGGGCUGUAGCCUCUCAGCAUUUUUCUGUCAGGC
Molecule: long non-coding RNA, 752 nt
Organism: Perognathus longimembris pacificus (Pacific pocket mouse)
Lineage: Eukaryota; Metazoa; Chordata; Mammalia; Rodentia; Heteromyidae
Exons: 2
Source: RefSeq, a predicted model, not a curated record